GUAGGUGGCAAGCGUUGUCCGGAAUUAUUGGGCGUAAAGCGCGCGCAGGUGGGUUCUUUAAGUCUGAUGUGAAAGCCCCCGGGCUCAACCGGGGAGGGUCAUUGGAAACUGGGGAACUUGAGUGCAGGAGAGGAAAGUGGAAUUCCACGUGUAGCGGUGAAAUGCGUAGAUAUGUGGAGGAACACCAGUGGCGAAGGCGACUUUCUGGCCUGUAACUGACACUGAGGCGCGAAAGCGUGGGGAGCAAACAGGUUUAGAUACCCUGGUAGUCCACGCCGUAAACGAUGAGUGCUAAGUGUUGGGGGGUUUCCGCCCCUCAGUGCUGCAGCUAACGCAUUAAGCACUCCGCCUGGGGAGUACGGUCGCAAAGACUG
Molecule: ribosomal RNA, 374 nt
Filed under: uncultured organism
Description: partial 16S ribosomal RNA
Rfam family: Bacterial small subunit ribosomal RNA
Source: RNAcentral